UACAGAGGUCUCAAGCGUUGUUCGGAUUCAUUGGCGUAAAGGGUGCGUAGGCGGCGCCGUAAGUCAGGUGUGAAAUCUCGGGGCUCAACCCCGAAACUGCACUUGAUACUGCGGUGCUAGAGGACUCGAGAGGAGAUUGGAAUUCACGGUGUAGCAGUGAAAUGCGUAGAUAUCGUGAGGAAGACCAGUGGCGAAGGCGGAUCUCUGGAGAGUUCCUGACGCUGAGGCACGAAGGCCAGGGAGCAAACGGG
This 251-nucleotide ribosomal RNA is filed under the name uncultured bacterium. Its description in RNAcentral is "partial 16S ribosomal RNA". It matches the Rfam family "Bacterial small subunit ribosomal RNA", at positions 524 to 776 of the family's 1533-position model. The record is from RNAcentral.